RNAcentral lists this ribosomal RNA (501 nucleotides) under uncultured bacterium. Its description in RNAcentral is "partial 16S ribosomal RNA". It matches the Rfam family "Bacterial small subunit ribosomal RNA", at positions 30 to 523 of the family's 1533-position model. The record is from RNAcentral.
AUUGAACGCUGGCGGCAGGCUUAACACAUGCAAGUCGAGCGGAGCGAGGGUGCUUGCACCUUAGCUUAGCGGCGGACGGGUGAGUAAUGCUUAGGAAUCUGCCUAUUAGUGGGGGACAACAUUCCGAAAGGAAUGCUAAUACCGCAUACGCCCUACGGGGGAAAGCAGGGGAUCUUCGGACCUUGCGCUAAUAGAUGAGCCUAAGUCGGAUUAGCUAGUUGGUGGGGUAAAGGCCUACCAAGGCGACGAUCUGUAGCGGGUCUGAGAGGAUGAUCCGCCACACUGGGACUGAGACACGGCCCAGACUCCUACGGGAGGCAGCAGUGGGGAAUAUUGGACAAUGGGGGGAACCCUGAUCCAGCCAUGCCGCGUGUGUGAAGAAGGCCUUAUGGUUGUAAAGCACUUUAAGCGAGGAGGAGGCUACUGAGACUAAUACUCUUGGAUAGUGGACGUUACUCGCAGAAUAAGCACCGGCUAACUCUGUGCCAGCCGCCGCAGUAA